GAUGAACGCUGGCGGCGUGCCUAAUACAUGCAAGUCGAGCGAACAGACGAGGAGCUUGCUCCUCUGACGUUAGCGGCGGACGGGUGAGUAACACGUGGAUACCCUACCUAUACGACUGGGAUACUUAUGGGAAACCGGGGCUAAUACCGGAAAAUUUAUUGACCUGCAUGGUUCAAUCGUUAAAGACGCUUUUUCGUUCAGUAAAAGACGAACCCGGGCCUCAUUAGCUAGUGGGUAAGGUAACGGCUUACCAAGGCGACGAUGCGUAGCCGACCUGAGAGGGUGAUCGGCCACACUGGAACUGAGACACGGUCCAGACUCCUACGGGAGGCAGCAGUAGGGAAUCUUCCGCAAUGGGCGAAAGCCUGACGGAGCAACGCCGCGUGAGUGAUGAAGGUCUUCGGAUCGUAAAACUCUGUUAUUAGGGAAGAACAAAUGUGUAAGUAACUAUGCACGUCUUGACGGUACCUAAUCAGAAAGCCACGGCUAACUACGUG
RNAcentral lists this ribosomal RNA (497 nucleotides) under uncultured bacterium. RNAcentral describes it as "partial 16S ribosomal RNA". It matches the Rfam family "Bacterial small subunit ribosomal RNA", at positions 28 to 507 of the family's 1533-position model. The record is from RNAcentral.